UCAAGAUCUGGUCAGAUAUGACUUUGUCGAAUUAAACCAGGAGCUUGGAAACUAAUUUUUGAAUGAAACCAACUGAGGGAUACUUAGUUGUGCCAUGGUGAUACCGAGAGAGGCAAUUGCUAAGUUAUGAUACUCCCAUACCUUUACUAGAUGCGAACGAUUCCGGAGAAGAAGAAGAAGUAGUUCGGACAAGGAUUUUAUUUAUAUUGACGGGAUUCUUACAUUGAUGAAGUUGAAGAAGUCUAGGGACAAAUAAGCCAAGGCAAGCCACCUUUUGAUCUCUGAUAUGAUGUCUCUUUGGAUGUCAUCUUGUGCUAUCAAUAGCAUCUUGGUUCUAUGUGUGAUGAUCUCCAUAUUGUUGUCAUCUAUGCUUGGAUGCAAGCAUGGUACCUCUAGUAGUUUUAUCUUGUCAAGGUCUUGGUAAUUGGUUGGGUGUAUGGUAUCAUGGCCAUUGCUAUCCAACUUGCUUUCUAUAUUUAGCUUGAAUAUGUUCCACCUCGGGACAAGAUUCAUACUACACCCCCUUCUAGUGUAGAUGUAUCAAUACCAUGUUUUUGGUGUAUUCUCAAAUUGUGAUGAGUAUGCCUGUUUUCCCUUAAUGGUGUUGGUGUUGGUCAAUUCUCAUCCCUAUCUAUCUAUUGAUUGGGUUAGAUAGCACCACAAAUCUGAAAGUAUAUUUCCUCUUGUGUUGUCAUAAUACAUGCUUAGCUCAAGCAAGUAUGAUCCACUCCAAUACCUCUUUUUCAUACCCUCAAUGGCGUGAUGACCCUCAUCUCGGCCAUAGUGUUGUAUUAGUUCAACUCAUGAAACUUUAGAUUGGGAACCCCUCAAGGUUUACCUUGUUGUAAAUGUUUAUGAAAACCUUGGGUGAGGCAAUCUUACCCAAGCGUAUGGUUUAUGAAAGGAAAGGAUCUUGACAAAGAUGGUUGGAAAGAGGAAGGUGUGUGUGACUUGGGUUUUUGAGAAAAACGACACAUGGUUCUUUGUAUUCACCCGGAACAACUAAACAGCGCAACCAUAGCUACUCCAACGUGGGCACGGGGCUUAACUUGACGUUUGUUCUUCU
Non-coding RNA from Lolium perenne, 1066 nucleotides. Lineage: Eukaryota; Viridiplantae; Streptophyta; Magnoliopsida; Poales; Poaceae. The record is from RefSeq and is a predicted model, not a curated record.